GAAACGUUCAAGGCGAUACAAAAGUAAUGCACGUCACGUACACAUGUAUCUACAUGCAAUAACAUACGAACAGAUUUAACAGUAUAAACUUUUUUAUUUAUCAUUAUAGUUUGGGAAUUAAAGUGUUUUAAAGGGAAUAUUUAACUGCAAAGUGAUAAAAACUUUGAGGCUGCACGUGAUUGCCUGAAUAUACAGAGAGAUUUUAACGAAUAAAAAAUAGUUUUGGAAGAUGGGAGACUUAUCUUGUCUUUUAUGCGCUCCCUGUGUCCGAACUUCCAGAAUCUCUCUAUCUUAUGAAGUAUUUUAGAUUAUUCCGAAAUUUGGUAUGUACAUACAAGAAGUAUACGUUCUACGUGGAAUAUUUAAUCAGGCUCUUGAUAUAUCAGAAAGAAAAUUUAUAGAAACUUUGCAAAAGUUGAUUUAUUAUUAUCAAAAUUAAUAGAAAUUUAAUUAAUGUUCAUUUAUUACCUUUGUUAGGUCGCGUAACACUCUACCUGGACCGGGCCACACACCGCGGACAAGAUGGCAACCAGAUGUCUUCGGAUACUUACUGCGUACCCUCAAUAGUCUCAAGUCGCGAGAAUUGAUUGUAAUUUCAAUAAAAAAAAAAAAAAUAGUCUCAAGUACCCUCCAUAAAUCUCAGGAAUUUCCUAGUCGAGGUCCUUCACACCGAACAAACAUCUAUUUUCCGAAUCAUUUCUAAAGACCAUUGUCUACUACGGCUUGACAAGGGAAAGUUAGUUUUUCUAACGUACGAUGCAACUUUCCUCCUACUAACCACUUUCUAUCGAGGGCGGCUAAGACCCUUCCUAGUCCACCAACCUUCGUUUAACCAAUUAACAACGAAGCCUAUUUCCCCCACUCUCUUAGCCAAAAUCGUCACCAACAAAUCCGAUGGUCCCGUGCGCUAGACACACCCAUCCUUGGCUUUCCUCCGUCACAGCAUCGUCUCCGAACAUCACUGAUUUUCUAUCCUUCGAACAGUCAACAUCCUUCGACCGGGUUUACACCCGAAAAUCAGUCACUCACUCAUCUUAUACAUACGCACCAGCGUAACUAUCUUCUUUACAAGUUGUUAGAAUAAACGGGAUUUAUAACUUACUAUACAGUGUUACAUUCAUUUUGUGUUACACCGAAGUUGUUGGAUUGUGAAAACAUAUAAUAACCUGUUAGUGGCAGCGUUAUCUUCAAUUUAACUACCCCUAUUGUAAUAUCGUAGAAUAGAUUUGAAUUAGAGAUCGGUUGAAAAUAGAAAAAAAACCGUGUACGUCGUCCUUCUGUGGUUCGUUUACAUUUAAGAGCGCCUAUGUGACUAAAGUCACCUAGUUCUUACAGAGAUAUGAGAAAAACAAGAAACAACGUUAGAGCAGAAGGACGGUUUCGUGUUUCAAGGGCGGACGACCGAGAGGUCAGAGUAUGCGAGUCGAAAAGCGAGUGUGUUGCGAGAGUCAGAGCUAAUUGAGUCGUUGAAGAGUAGAGUCGUUAGAGGUUUCGAGUUGUCGAAGAGUAGAGUCGUUAGAGGUUUCGAGUCGUCGAAGAGUAGAGUCGUGAGAAUUGAUAGAGUUGUUAGAGAGAGAGUGUGUGUGUGUUAGAUUCGUUGUGACGAGAGUGAUCAAAUAACUGUAAAGUUAUUUGAUAUAGAUACGAGUAUUGCAUUUAGUUCCGUUAAAUAAAUAUCGUUCUCUGUCCAAUUUAUAUCUGUAUAUUCAGUUUAAUAUUAAUAAAUUGUAAGUAAUCGGAAAAAAAUUUCUAUCCUUAUUUUUCGAUAUUACACUAUUAUCCCAAAAGAAAUAAGGGAUCGAACGAUUCGCGGCGUCGAUUAGCAAAUCGUAACGGGAAUUUACGACUCCCGUUGGCGCGCUUCUUCGAGAUCGUGUCUCCCCGCGAACGUGCGAAAACAACCUUUACAUAUCUAAGUUGUGCAGAUUUGACGUGCGUAAGAAAUUAGUGUCGUUUCAAAGUUACAUCACAUGCAUUUUAAGGUUAUAAUUCUUGACGUACAAAGCAAUAUAAAUUUGAGCUGUCUCUUAUCUCCACAAUAAGAAAAUUUAACUUUACUUUUCGUAUACGAAAAAUGAUAUUUAU
This is a long non-coding RNA of Bombus huntii, 2085 nucleotides long. RefSeq lists it as uncharacterized. Lineage: Eukaryota; Metazoa; Arthropoda; Insecta; Hymenoptera; Apidae. The record is from RefSeq and is a predicted model, not a curated record. The transcript has 2 exons.